AGUAGUAGAGGACGGAACGGGCGGCCGUCGCCCCUUGCAAAAGGUUAGGAGAUGUGGGAAUUGUCACCCCACCUAUUGCU
This 80-nucleotide non-coding RNA is filed under the name unclassified sequences. The record is from Rfam.